AGCACUUACAUUUAUCACCCAGGCUACAAGAAAAACUAACAGACCUGCCCCAAUCCAGGACAAACCCCAAUACAGACAGACCAGCCCCAAUCAGAGCAGACCAGACAGACCAGCUCCAAUCCAGGACAACAUUAGUCAGCACAUCCACAACAAACUGUUCACAUCCAGCCCAGUCCAUGAGCACAGCUUUGUCCCUGCUUACUAGUACAGACAGGGUAAUACACUUCAGCAAGCAACAGCUUGAGGCAUGGACACAGCAGUACUCCCCUUGGCUAUACUUACAUGGAAAUUAUGUAGGAUGCACAUUCUGCAAAUAUGCCAAGUGCCUUUUUGGAGUCCAAAAGGGAGUACAGGUGGCAGAGGAGUGGGCUUCUGGAGAGGUCACAGCAAAAGAUGUCAGGGCCAUGAAAAAGAAAAUCUACAAACACAGAGACAGCUUAACUCACAAGGCAUCAACAGAUAUUCAACAGCAGAAAGAGAAAGAGGUGUUGCCCACCUUGACAGAAACUUUGAAUGCUAAAGUUCUGUUGGAGACAGUGCACUCAUUUAGAAAAGCAUAUUUUGUUGCAAAGGAGAAGUUAGCCUUCUCAAAAAUGUAUGGAUUGGUUGAGUUACAAGAAAUGAAUGGAGUAAAAAACGGCUCUUGUCACAAAUCUGAUCACUCUUGCAUUAAUAUAAUAACACACAUUGCCAAUAAAAUGUGGAAAAAAAUUGUCUCAACAAUUAAAAGUGCUGGUUCUUGGAUCUGUCUUACAGUAGAUGAAAGCAAUGCAUUUGGGAGAAGCUACCUCAUCCUAUACCUCAGAGGAGAUGUGACAGGAGAAGGUGAGACAGAAAACAUUUUUUUUUGGAUUUGAUUGAGCUGGAGGAAGGAACAACUGCUGAUGCCAUAUACAAAGCUCUCAAAAAGAGUCUCCUGGAAGCUGACCUGGAUGAUGCAUUCCUCAAGUCUCAUCUGAUCUGCAUAACAACAGAUGGGGCAUCUGUGAUGACUGGAAGACAGAGUGGUCUUAUCACAAGGCUGAAAAAAGACUAUCCUUUGCUGGAGAGUAUCCACUGUCUUGCUCACAGGCUUGAGUUAUCAGUACGUGAUGCACUAAAGUCAGUCACAGGUUGCAAUCACUUUGAGAUAUUUAUUUUAAAGCUUUAUACACUGUACCAUCAAUCCCCAAAGAAUGCCAGACAACUUUCAGAGGCAGCUUCUCAAGUUAACAUCUGCCUACUUAAGAUUGGUCACAUUUUUACCAUCCGCUGGGUAGCAAGUAGUUUUGUGACUUUACAAGCUGUUUGGAGAGACUUCCCUGCUCUGGUUGCACAAAUGAAAAAAGGAGCUGAAGAUGGAUCUCGCUCUGAUAUAGAAAGAAAAAAAUUCAGUGGCCUUCUGAAUCGCCUCACAUGCACUGGCUUUGUUAAUGACCUGGCAAACAUUAAAGAUGUGCUACGUGAACUUCACAGUCUUGUCCCUAAAACUUCAGAAAAGAAGCACUUCUUUUAUGGAGGCCACACGAGAAAUAAAGAUGACAAUUGAGGUGUUGAAGGCUUUCAAGAUCACCCCAGGGAAGUCAAUGGAGAAAGCAGUGGAAGCUGUUAAAGUAGGAGAAUUCAAACAAGUGCCCUUACAUUCAAACAAGGAAAAUGUAAAUAGAUUCCUAUUCCUCCAAGCCAUCAUCAACAGUCUCUCUUCACGAAUGCCUGACACAAAUCUUACAAAGAUUAUAACACCACUGGAUCCCCUAAACUGGCCAAAAUCCAGGGAGUCUCUUGUUCUCUUCGGGGAGAAAGAGAUCCACGACCUGGCAAAGAUGCUUGAAGUACCAAGUAGGGAGGCAGUUGAGGACUUCAGAAAUUGGAAGCUCAACAAUGAUCAGAAUGGGAAGGUCCUCAAAAAGGGUUUCUCGACAAACGAUUGAUCUGAGAGUUUAAGAACGUUUUCUGAGAGUCAUUUUUACGAUCUUUCGUUAUUGAUUCACGUGUGUUUCCCAGAAAUGCACUUAACACAAUCUCAGUAUCUGUGCUUUAAGAGCUGCUUAGAGUCGCUGUCCGUUUGUCAAGUGCUGAAAUCUCAUCUUAUAGAGUGACUCGUGAUUGUAGCACACGCUCGUUUACUGAAAUGUUCAUCUAAUGCUGUGUUCAGACUCUGUCAGCAGAUUGUCAUUUGACUGACAGCUUCUGAUCAAUGUGGAAGCAGCCAAAUAUCUCCAAAUGAAAGAAAACUCGGGUUUAUCUUUGCAACAAUACCCUUCACAAGGUGUUCAGAUGAAGAAAAAAAGAGGAUAAAACUCCAGAAGAAGAACAUAGAUUCAGUUCACAUUAAGAGGAGCAUCCAGCAGUUCCAGCAGGACAUACAGAAGAUAAAAAAAAACAAUUGAUCUGUGAUACCAUACUCUCACACACCAUGGACCAGUUCUCCUUCACAAACACCUUGUUAGUGUCACUGUGCUUCAAGCAGACAGGUUUGAACAGGACACAAUGGUGUUUCCUGAAGAUGCACUGAGCAGGACUUUGAAGGUCUAUCCAGAGCUCAGUGAGAGUAAGCUGAAGACAGAGCUUAGUCUCAUCUACUGCAAGGAAGAGUUCAGAAGCUCUUGUGCUGCUGUGGACCUUCUCCAGCUGUUUAUGGAGAACAAUCUUGAACAAGAUCCUCAUCAGCACACCCAUGACCACAGCAGAAGUGAUCUGAGAGCUGCUUCUCAAGCUUGAAAAGAAUGAAGACUUCUCUGAGAAACAGCAGGACCCAGAACAGACUGAAUGCAUUGUUCAUGCUGUAGAUGGAGAAGAGACUGGGAUUGAGAUGAUGAUUUCAACCAGAAAGAGAACCAGGGAGAAAUCUGACAGCCAGAAAGAAAGGAGAAAAAGUGCUACUGGCCAGUGAUUGGGCAACUUCAUUGUGUGUGUGUGUGUGUGCGUGUGUGUGUGUGUGUGUGUGGUACAUUUAAAGUGUGGACUUUAACCUUAAUAUUUUCAAUAUUUUAUCUAGCAGUAAUGAUACAUAAUCACCUGAUAAAUGGCUAUUUACAGUCCUGCAUUACUAACAGUUUAGUUCUUCAGUUUGUUUGCGCACACCCAAAAGUUUUUUUUUGAUAUAAACGAAAAUGAUGGUGUAUAAAAUUUAUUUUUAUAAUAAUUUAUAAUUAUAUAAAAUGUUUUGGGUUUUGUUUACUCUUAGAAUAGGACACACUGGACUGAAUCAGACACUGUUCAAAACAGACGAACAUCAUCAGGUUGAGUCAGUGUUACGUGUGUUAUUGAAGAGGAGGAAAUAUGAGGAGGAAAGAAGGGAAAUGAUUCGAAUGAUAAAGACAGACAUUGUAAAUGUUAAUGUUCAGCUUUUAGAAGGAAAUACUUGUAAUGUGUUCAAACAUCUCAUGGUUUACCUAAAAAAUACAGGAUUUAUGGAAAGAAUAUGAUUAAUUUCUAAAUGUCCUAGUUUGUCACAUACUGCUCCACACCCCAGUCUCGUAUGUGCU
This is a long non-coding RNA of Carassius gibelio (silver crucian carp), 3467 nucleotides long. RefSeq lists it as uncharacterized. Lineage: Eukaryota; Metazoa; Chordata; Actinopteri; Cypriniformes; Cyprinidae. The transcript has 3 exons. The record is from RefSeq and is a predicted model, not a curated record.